CGGUGGGUCUUAGGCGGGGGGCUAGGGGUCCCUUGCACCGUAAACCCUCUAUAUGACGGGCCGAAAGCUGAGGCUGAGGCGCCUAAGGUCGCUGAGACCCUCAUUUCCGAAGCGAAGACUAUCCGUCCUUUGGGGCUGGCGGUCGUUGAGCAGCUUUCGUAGGAGAGCUGUCUUCAGUGUUUGCCAGGUGAAUCCGGCCAGGCCCGGGAGGGAGCAACCUAAGUCUGGGCGUUCAGCGCUCAAGGGGGCGCGGGUACGAGCAUAGGGCUUGAGGGCUAGGCGGAUUCUGGGCGUCAAACCCCAGUGGCCUGCCG
RNAcentral lists this signal recognition particle RNA (314 nucleotides) under Candidatus Bathyarchaeota archaeon. RNAcentral describes it as "signal recognition particle sRNA". It matches the Rfam family "Archaeal signal recognition particle RNA". The record is from RNAcentral. Lineage: Archaea; Thermoproteati; Candidatus Bathyarchaeota.